Molecule: ribosomal RNA, 253 nt
Filed under: uncultured bacterium
Lineage: Bacteria
Description: partial 16S ribosomal RNA
Rfam family: Bacterial small subunit ribosomal RNA
Source: RNAcentral
UACGUAGGGCGCAAGCGUUAUCCGGAAUCAUUGGGCGUAAAGAGCGUGUAGGCGGCCCGGUAAGUCCGCUGUGAAAGUCGGGGGCUCAACCCUCGAAUGCCGGUGGAUACUGUCGGGCUAGAGUGCGGAAGAGGCGAGUGGAAUUCCUGGUGUAGCGGUGGAAUGCGCAGAUAUCAGGAGGAACACCAACGGCGAAGGCAGCUCGCUGGGACGGUACUGACGCUGAGGCGCGAAAGCGUGGGGAGCGAACAGG